UGGUGUCUUUAAUCGGACUUUCCAAAGUUG
This 30-nucleotide non-coding RNA is filed under the name Mus musculus (house mouse). Lineage: Eukaryota; Metazoa; Chordata; Mammalia; Rodentia; Muridae. The record is from RNAcentral.